Non-coding RNA from Lingula anatina, 88 nucleotides. NCBI's taxonomy places the organism in Eukaryota, Metazoa, Brachiopoda, Lingulata, Lingulida, Lingulidae. The record is from Rfam.
CUCGCGAUAGCUCAGUUGGUAGAGCGGAGGACUGUAGUGGACAAUACGGGAUAUCCUUAGGUCGCUGGUUCAAAUCCGGCUCGCGAGA